Molecule: ribosomal RNA, 445 nt
Filed under: uncultured bacterium
Lineage: Bacteria
Description: bacterial SSU rRNA
Rfam family: Bacterial small subunit ribosomal RNA
Source: RNAcentral
GUGGGGAAUAUUGGUCAAUGGGCGCAAGCCUGAACCAGCCAUGCCGCGUGCAGGAAGACGGUCCUAUGGAUUGUAAACUGCUUUUAUUUGGGAAUAAACUCCGGUACGUGUACCGGCCUGAAGGUACCAAAUGAAUAAGCACCGGCUAACUCCGUGCCAGCAGCCGCGGUAAUACGGAGGGUGCAAGCGUUAUCCGGAAUCAUUGGGUUUAAAGGGUCCGCAGGCGGUCUUAUAAGUCAGUGGUGAAAGCCUACAGCUCAACUGUAGAACUGCCAUUGAUACUGUAGGACUUGAAUUCGAUCGAAGUGGGCGGAAUGUGACAUGUAGCGGUGAAAUGCUUAGAUAUGUCACAGAACACCGAUAGCGAAGGCAGCUCACUAGGUCUGGAUUGACGCUCAGGGACGAAAGCGUGGGGAGCAAACAGGAUUAGAUACCCUUGUAGUCC